RNAcentral lists this long non-coding RNA (1616 nucleotides) under Durio zibethinus. RNAcentral describes it as "long non-coding RNA (DZIB_LNC000549)". Lineage: Eukaryota; Viridiplantae; Streptophyta; Magnoliopsida; Malvales; Malvaceae. The record is from RNAcentral.
UCAUCUGGAUGAGGUUCUGCUUGUUCUAUUUCAUCUGCUUUAGUUUGAUCAGGAUCAGGUUCUUUAUGACCUUGGUUGAAAUGGGCUUGAUCUACCAGGGUUUCAGUUGUUAUUUGAUGACGAGGAUCAUGUCUUGCCAUACUUGUGCAUCCCAAAAUGUUCAAUCGUGCUUCUCCAUCAUCAGGAUCUGGUUCACCUAUGGUCUCUCUUGUUAGAAUCUUGGUGUCCAGAAUCUCCAUCACCAUAGGUUCAACUACAUUUCCAAAACUUGAAGCACCUGAACCAUCAGGAUCAGGCUCUUCACUUGAACACAUGGCUGCUGAUUUCCCAAGAGUCUUCUGAGAAUCGUUUUUAGUAGAUUCAGAAUGAUGUUUCAGUAGCAGAGUUUCACCAUGCAGCAAAUCAUCUGGAUCUGGUUCAAACUUGUUCUGAUUUCUAGAAAGGUCAUCAGGAUCUGGUUCAUAAGCAAGUUUCCCCACAGGCCUAAUUGGACUUUGAAUAUCUAGAUUUUCAUUUCCAUCAUGAAUGGUCAACCCAGAGUCUUGGAUUCUCUGUAAUUUUUGAUCAUCCGGAUCAGGCUCAUCAAUUUUCAUAUCAUAUAUUCCCAGCUGUAGCAAUAACUUAUCAUCUCGAUGAGGCUCUGCUCGUGCUAUUUCAUCUGCUUUAGUUUCAUCAGGAUCAGGUUCUUUAUGACCUUGGUUGAAACAGGCUUGAUCUACCAAGGUUUCAGUUGUUAUGUGAUGUCCAGGAUCAUGUCUUGCCAUGCUUGGGCAUCCCAAAAUGUUCGAUUGUGCUUCUCCAUCAUCAGGAUCUGGUUCAUCUAUGGUCUCUCUUGUCAGAAUCUUGGUGUCCAGAAUCUCCAUCACCACAGGUUCAACUACAUUUCCAAAACUUGAAGCACCUGAAUCAUCAGGAUCAGGCUCUUCACUUGAACAUAUGGCUGCUGAUUUCCCAAGAGUCUUCUGAGAAUCAUUUUUAGUAGAUGCAGACUGAUGUUUCAGUAGCAGAGUUUCACCAUGCAGCAAAUCAUCUGGAUCAGGUUCAAACUUGUUAUGAUUGCUAGAAAGGUCAUCAGGAUAUGGUUCAUAAGCAAGUUUCCUCAAAGACCUAAUUGGACUUUGAAUAUCUAGAUUUUCAUUUCCAUUGUGAAUAGUCAAACCAGAGUCUUGGAUUCUCUGUAAUUCUUGAUCAUCCGGAUCGGGCUCAUCAAUUUUCAUAUCAUAUAUUCCCAGCUGUGGCAAUAACUUAUCAUCUCGAUGAGGAUCUGCUUGUGCUAUUUCAUCUGCUUUAGUUUCAUCAGGAUCAGGUUCUUUAUGGCCUUGAUUGAAAUGGGCUUGAUCUACCAAGGUUUCAGUUGUUAUGUGAUGACGAGGAUCAUGUCUUGCCAAGCUUGUGCAUCCCAAAAUGUUCGAUUGUGCUUCUCCAUCAUCAGGAUCUGGUUCAUCUAUGGUCUCUCUUGUCAGAAUCUUGGUGUCCAGAAUCUCCAUCACCAUAGGUUCAACUACAUUUCCAAAACUUGAAGCACCUGAAUCAUCAGGAUCGGGCUCUUCACUUGAACACAUGGCUGCUGAUUUCCCAAGAGUCUUCUGAGAAAUGUUUUUAGUAGAUUCAGAAUG